UGCGAACUCCUACGGGAGGCAGCAGUGGGGAAUAUUGCACAAUGGGCGGAAGCCUGAUGCAGCGACGCCGCGUGGGGGAUGACGGUCUUCGGAUUGUAAGCCCCUUUCAGUAGGGACGAAGCGCAAGUGACGGUACCUGCAGAAGAAGCACCGGCCAACUACGUGCCAGCAGCCGCGGUAAUACGUAGGGUGCGAGCGUUGUCCGGAAUUACUGGGCGUAAAGAGCUCGUAGGCGGUUUGUCGCGUCGUCUGUGAAAUCCUCCAGCUUAACUGGGGGCGUGCAGGCGAUACGGGCAGACUUGAGUACUACAGGGGAGACUGGAAUUCCCGGUGUAGCGGUGGAAUGCGCAGAUAUCAGGAGGAACACCGGUGGCGAAGGCGGGUCUCUGGGUAGUAACUGACGCUGAGGAGCGAAAGCAUGGGUAGCGAACAGGAUUAGAAACCCUAGUAGUCCAGAUG
This 459-nucleotide ribosomal RNA is filed under the name uncultured bacterium. Its description in RNAcentral is "bacterial SSU rRNA". It matches the Rfam family "Bacterial small subunit ribosomal RNA", at positions 330 to 799 of the family's 1533-position model. The record is from RNAcentral.